AUUCGGCCUAUCUGGAUGUCGAGUACCAUUGUUAGAUGGUUACUCCGAUUAGUAUAGGAAUCAGUUUCUAUGCUACCGAUUUAGGUUCGAAUCUAUGGGGUCACACAUAUUAGAAGUUUUUCUCCAUAGCUAAUCUGAAGAGUCCUGCUGAAUGGAGACUCUGAUGAAGAGUCCCACUGGACUGAGACUCUACUGGAGAGUCCCACUGGACGA
This 213-nucleotide long non-coding RNA is filed under the name Elaeis guineensis (African oil palm). Its description in RNAcentral is "long non-coding RNA (EGUI_LNC049980)". The record is from RNAcentral. Lineage: Eukaryota; Viridiplantae; Streptophyta; Magnoliopsida; Arecales; Arecaceae.